RNAcentral lists this ribosomal RNA (453 nucleotides) under uncultured Brevundimonas sp. Its description in RNAcentral is "bacterial SSU rRNA". It matches the Rfam family "Bacterial small subunit ribosomal RNA", at positions 8 to 507 of the family's 1533-position model. Lineage: Bacteria; Pseudomonadati; Pseudomonadota; Alphaproteobacteria; Caulobacterales; Caulobacteraceae. The record is from RNAcentral.
AGAGUUUGAUCCUGGCUCAGAGCGAACGCUGGCGGCAGGCCUAACACAUGCAAGUCGAACGAACUCUUCGGAGUUAGUGGCGGACGGGUGAGUAACACGUGGGAACGUGCCUUUUGGUUCGGAAUAACUCAGGGAAACUUGUGCUAAUACCGAAUGUGCCCUUCGGGGGAAAGAUUUAUCGCCAUUAGAGCGGCCCGCGUCUGAUUAGCUAGUUGGUGAGGUAAAGGCUCACCAAGGCGACGAUCAGUAGCUGGUCUGAGAGGAUGAUCAGCCACAUUGGGACUGAGACACGGCCCAAACUCCUACGGGAGGCAGCAGUGGGGAAUCUUGCGCAAUGGGCGAAAGCCUGACGCAGCCAUGCCGCGUGAAUGAUGAAGGUCUUAGGAUUGUAAAAUUCUUUCACCGGGGACGAUAAUGACGGUACCCGGAGAAGAAGCCCCGGCUAACUUCGUG